Molecule: ribosomal RNA, 223 nt
Filed under: uncultured bacterium
Lineage: Bacteria
Description: partial 16S ribosomal RNA
Rfam family: Bacterial small subunit ribosomal RNA
Source: RNAcentral
UACGUAGGGACCGAGCGUUGUCCGGAAUUAUUGGGCGUAAAGAGCUCGUAGGCGGUCUGUCGCGUCUGCUGUGAAAACUCAGGGCUUAACCCUGAGCUUGCAGUGGGUACGGGCAGACUAGAGUGCGGUAGGGGAGACUGGAAUUCCUGGUGUAGCGGUGAAAUGCGUAGAUAUCGUAAGGAAGACCAGUGGCGAAGGCGGGUCUCUGGACAGUUCCUGGACG